Molecule: ribosomal RNA, 190 nt
Filed under: Vibrio parahaemolyticus 863
Lineage: Bacteria; Pseudomonadati; Pseudomonadota; Gammaproteobacteria; Vibrionales; Vibrionaceae
Description: partial 16S ribosomal RNA
Rfam family: Bacterial small subunit ribosomal RNA
Source: RNAcentral
AAAUUGAAGAGUUUGAUCAUGGCUCAGAUUGAACGCUGGCGGCAGGCCUAACACAUGCAAGUCGAGCGGAAACGAGUUAACUGAACCUUCGGGGGACGAUAACGGCGUCGAGCGGCGGACGGGUGAGUAAUGCCUAGGAAAUUGCCCUGAUGUGGGGGAUAACCAUUGGAAACGAUGGCUAAUACCGCAU